Jaculus jaculus (lesser Egyptian jerboa) is the source of this 127-nucleotide small nucleolar RNA. NCBI's taxonomy places the organism in Eukaryota, Metazoa, Chordata, Mammalia, Rodentia, Dipodidae. The record is from Ensembl.
AGCACCUGCACCUCUCUCUGUUGAACUAAUGUACAAAGAAUUAAAAGCAGGUGCAAAAAUAAAUCCUCUUUUGCAACCAAGAUCUCAUUGUUAAGUAUGAGUUUUGACACAUAUAAGAAGGAGUAAC